This 407-nucleotide long non-coding RNA is filed under the name Phascolarctos cinereus (koala). RNAcentral describes it as "lncRNA (ENSPCIG00000016644.2)". The record is from RNAcentral. Lineage: Eukaryota; Metazoa; Chordata; Mammalia; Diprotodontia; Phascolarctidae.
CGAAUAGGUCCCUUUGGUAUUUGAUCCCUGACUUAGUGAAGGAGAAUAAUUCAUUAGAAAGACAUCCACUGUCUCCUGGUAUACCUUUGCCCAAGGACAGAAGGAAUGCUAGACGAGCCCAUCUGUGCUGGCUCUCAAUAAGUUCAAGAAGGCCAUUGGAACCUUGGUUACAUCCUUGGAGCUCACAAGUGAAAUCCAUCUUCUGAAGGAAUACAAGUCUGAGUGUGUUUUCUGAUCAUCAGAAGAAGGAAACAAGGGUGGUUAUAAAGAUGAAAAAUGGUACUAGGGAGAGGCCAUCCUCCAAUCCUGGCUUUUGAGGAAGUACGGGAUAGCAAGAAGAGUAAUGGCCCAGGAAUCAAGUAGACCUGAUUCAAGUCUCAGCUUAAUAGCACUUUGACCCUAGGCAG